GCAAGUCGAGCGGAUGAAGGGAGCUUGCUCUGGAUUCAGCGGCGGACGGGUGAGUAAUGCCUAGGAAUCUGCCUGGUAGUGGGGGAUAACGUCCGGAAACGGGCGCUAAUACCGCAUACGUCCUGAGGGAGAAAGUGGGGGAUCUUCGGACCUCACGCUAUCAGAUGAGCCUAGGUCGGAUUAGCUAGUUGGUGGGGUAAAGGCCUACCAAGGCGACGAUCCGUAACUGGUCUGAGAGGAUGAUCAGUCACACUGGAACUGAGACACGGUCCAGACUCCUACGGGAGGCAGCAGUGGGGAAUAUUGGACAAUGGGCGAAAGCCUGAUCCAGCCAUGCCGCGUGUGUGAAGAAGGUCUUCGGAUUGUAAAGCACUUUAAGUUGGGAGGAAGGGCAGUAAGUUAAUACCUUGCUGUUUUGACGUUACCAACAGAAUAAGCACCGGCUAACUUCGUGCCAGCAGCCGCGGUAAUACGAAGGGUGCAAGCGUUAAUCGGAAUUACUGGGCGUAAAGCGCGCGUAGGUGGUUCAGCAAGUUGGAUGUGAAAUCCCCGGGCUCAACCUGGGAACUGCAUCCAAAACUACUGAGCUAGAGUACGGUAGAGGGUGGUGGAAUUUCCUGUGUAGCGGUGAAAUGCGUAGAUAUAGGAAGGAACACCAGUGGCGAAGGCGACCACCUGGACUGAUACUGACACUGAGGUGCGAAAGCGUGGGGAGCAAACAGGAUUAGAUACCCUGGUAGUCCACGCCGUAAACGAUGUCGACUUGGAGGUUGUGCCCUUGAGGCGUGGCUUCCGGAGCUAACGCGUUAAGUCGACCGCCUGGGGAGUACGGCCGCAAGGUUAAAACUCAAAUGAAUUGACGGGGGCCCGCACAAGCGGUGGAGCAUGUGGUUUAAUUCGAUGCAACGCGAAGAACCUUACCUGGUCUUGACAUCCACGGAAGUUUUCAGAGAUGAGAAUGUGCCUUCGGGAACCGUGAGACAGGUGCUGCAUGGCUGUCGUCAGCUCGUGUUGUGAAAUGUUGGGUUAAGUCCCGCAACGAGCGCAACCCUUAUCCUUUGUUGCCAGCGGUCCGGCCGGGAACUCAAAGGAGACUGCCAGUGAUAAACUGGAGGAAGGUGGGGAUGACGUCAAGUCAUCAUGGCCCUUACGACCAGGGCUACACACGUGCUACAAUGGCGCAUACAAAGAGAAGCGACCUCGCGAGAGCAAGCGGACCUCAUAAAGUGCGUCGUAGUCCGGAUUGGAGUCUGCAACUCGACUCCAUGAAGUCGGAAUCGCUAGUAAUCGUGGAUCAGAAUGCCACGGUGAAUACGUUCCCGGGCCUUGUACACACCGCCCGUCACACCAUGGGAGUGGGUUGCAAAAGAAGUGGGUAGCUUAACCUUCGGGAGGGCGCUUACCACUUUGUGAUUCAUGGCUGGGGUGAAGUCGUAACAAGGUAACCGUAGGGGAACCUGCGGUUG
This 1466-nucleotide ribosomal RNA is filed under the name metagenome. RNAcentral describes it as "bacterial SSU rRNA". It matches the Rfam family "Bacterial small subunit ribosomal RNA". The record is from RNAcentral.